UCACACGAGGUAUUUAU
RNAcentral lists this unclassified non-coding RNA (17 nucleotides) under Mus musculus (house mouse). RNAcentral describes it as "oocyte_clustered_small_RNA3741". The record is from RNAcentral. Lineage: Eukaryota; Metazoa; Chordata; Mammalia; Rodentia; Muridae.